Molecule: long non-coding RNA, 362 nt
Organism: Trachemys scripta elegans
Lineage: Eukaryota; Metazoa; Chordata; Testudines; Emydidae
Exons: 4
Source: RefSeq, a predicted model, not a curated record
CCAUCGUGCUUUGCGGCAGCGGCUGGCACGCCCGGGUCCCGGCAUGGACCCGUGUUGGGGCUGAAGCUCUGGGCGGCCCAGGAGAUGGGGCUGCCCCCCGCGAAGGUGCCCCCUGACGGGGCCUUCCGCCCGAUGUGCUCAGGCCAGUGUGUGGAGAUCUGGAAAUACGUCACCCAGCACGUGCACCACCAGAGGAAUGUGAAGACGAUCCGAGGGAACUUGCUGUGGUACCAGCAUCUGGAGGAGACAGAGGUGAGUGGGCCGGUGGAGACUGCUGGUUGAAUGGAGCAUGGGGCAGGUGUGGAUAGGGGCGUGUGGGUGAGGGCUGUUGGUGGGAUGGGACGAGUGUUGUGGGUGGGAUU